GAUUAACGCUGGCGGCGUGCAUAACACAUGCAAGUCGAACGAUGAAACUUUACUGACUUCUUCGGAAUGAUUUAAAGCGGAUUAGUGGCGAACGGGUGAGUAACGCGUGAGUAACCUGCCUUACACAAGGGGAUAGCCUCUGGAAACGGAGAAUAAUACCCUAUGAAACCAGACAAUCGCAUGAUAAUCUGGUCAAAAUGUUUAGUGGUGUAAGAUGGACUUGCGUCUGAUUAGCUAGUUGGUGAGAUAAAAGCUCACCAAGGCAACGAUCAGUAGCCGGCUUGAGAGAGUGUACGGCCACAUUGGGACUGAGACACGGCCCAGACUCCUACGGGAGGCAGCAGUGGGGAAUUUGGCACAAUGGGGGAAACCCUGAUGCAGCGACGCCGCGUGAUUUAGAAGGCCUUCGGGUUGUAAAAAUCUUUUGUAUAGGAAGAAAAUGACAGUACUAUACGAAUAAGGUCCGGCUAAUUACGUG
RNAcentral lists this ribosomal RNA (478 nucleotides) under uncultured bacterium. Its description in RNAcentral is "partial 16S ribosomal RNA". It matches the Rfam family "Bacterial small subunit ribosomal RNA", at positions 28 to 507 of the family's 1533-position model. The record is from RNAcentral.